CCUACGGGAGGCAGCAGUGGGGAAUAUUGCACAAUGGGGGAAACCCUGAUGCAGCGACGCCGCGUGAGUGAAGAAGUAUUUCGGUAUGUAAAGCUCUAUCAGCAGGGAAGAAAUAGCGACCUUUGGGUCGCCAGACGGUACCCGAUUAAGAAGCCCCGGCUAACUACGUGCCAGCAGCCGCGGUAAUACGUAGGGGGCAAGCGUUAUCCGGAUUUACUGGGUGUAAAGGGAGCGUAGACGGCAGCGCACGUCUGAAGUGAAAUACCGGGGCUUAACCCCGGAACUGCUUUGGAAACUGUGCAGCUGGAGUGCAGGAGAGGUAAGUGGAAUUCCUGGUGUAGCGGUGGAAUGCGUAGAUAUUAGGAGGAACACCAGAGGCGAAGGCGGCUUACUGGACUGUAACUGACGUUGAGGCUCGAAAGCGUGGGGAGCAAACAGGAUUAGAUACCCCGGUAGUC
RNAcentral lists this ribosomal RNA (458 nucleotides) under uncultured bacterium. RNAcentral's name for it is "partial 16S ribosomal RNA". It matches the Rfam family "Bacterial small subunit ribosomal RNA", at positions 338 to 795 of the family's 1533-position model. The record is from RNAcentral.